UUGAUUUUAAUUACAUUGAUUGAUAGAUUUCAUUUUGUAAUCCAAUACGAUUUCCUUACUCAUUAGCCAAAGCAAAAUUUACGAUUUGUCCAUAAAAAAUCUCAUAAAUUCCAACAGCAAAUAUCAGUUGUGAAUUUGGCUAAGCAAAUACUGCAUAUAUUCAAUAGUUGAAGGAAGUCAGACGGAUAUCCCUUGGGAGCUGGGUCGGUUCUGACUUUCUGAUGUCUGGAGGGAAAUGCAAUUGUAUGCGGUGUCAAAAGUCGCACAGCAAUCCAUCAAUUUAACAGCCAUGGAAAAUCAAGAGACGCGAGCACAAAGCGUAAAGCAGCCAAAUCGUAAAAUAAAUUGUAGAAAAUAUAUCAAGCAAAGGACAUUAGGGACACAGUCGUUGCCCUAGGGUGGCUACACUCUGCAGGCAUCAAAUGAUUUCUUUCCCUGCCACAUUUCUAUUCUUUAGCAGCGACAAUGAAACACAAAACUCAUGUUGCAAUUGAAAACACGGGAUGUUGCCGGGGCUCUUUGUGGCAUGUUUGCGCAAUGUUAACAGUGCUGUGCAAACUUUCAGUUGAACUGACGCGCAGAGACGACGGUCCAGCAGCUGCCAAGAAGUCAACAUGCUGCGCCCCAAUCUCUAAGCGCAACGCGUGCCAUAUGUCAAACUAACUAAAAUAAAGCAACACAAAAAAAAAAAAA
Drosophila mojavensis is the source of this 693-nucleotide long non-coding RNA. RefSeq lists it as uncharacterized. Lineage: Eukaryota; Metazoa; Arthropoda; Insecta; Diptera; Drosophilidae. The transcript is spliced from 2 exons. The record is from RefSeq and is a predicted model, not a curated record.